Molecule: long non-coding RNA, 1795 nt
Filed under: Sorghum bicolor (sorghum)
Lineage: Eukaryota; Viridiplantae; Streptophyta; Magnoliopsida; Poales; Poaceae
Description: long non-coding RNA (SBIC_LNC007993)
Source: RNAcentral
GACGGGUUUUGGUCAAACUUGGUCAAAUGACAAACUAAAUUACUUAAAAUGAAAAAAAUUUUAAUACCAAGUUGUUAGAUAUCAUCAAGAUAUAAACUUUUUAUAUACACAAUUUUUCCAUUUGAGAAAGUUUAAGUUAACAAUACCCACCAAAUAUUAAAUCUCACACAAACUAUAUGAAACUAUAUGUGUCAAUUGUGGAUUUUCAACUACACCUUCCGAAAACUUUGUCAAAUGCAAAAAUGGUCUAUAUGUUAAAUGUAGAUUUUGAUGAGUGGAACAAUAUUGAUAUUCAUGACUUGUCCAUUCGAGACGAUCUAGGGUUCCGAAACCGAUGCGUGGCUAUGAAUUCUUUCAAAAUUCAAAAUUGAGUGGUUCAAACUUUUCCAAAUGAAAAGUUAACCAUUAGACCAAAUGUAGAACUUGAUGAGUGUAAAAAACUUUGUAUUCAUGACUUUUUUAUUUGGGACCAUCUAAGGUUCGGUCAAAAGGUGUAUUCAUCAAGAUAUACAUUUUUAUAUGAUAAAUAGAUUUUUUAUUUGGUGAAAACUGUACCCUACUAGCAUUCUGAGUAAUAAAUGACAAAAAUAAAAAGUUUAACGUCAAUAUGAUGUGAAAAAAGAUUUCCAGUUGAUUGGAUAUAGUUUUUGUAAAUUUAUUGGAAUAAUAUAUUUUUGCAUUAACAAAGUACUAAACAUUACUUACAGAAUUAUUGCAAAUUAAAAAAUACAGUAAGAUAUUUAAGGUUAAAAAUUUUCAUGUGUACAUUAAAAAAAAUUACAAUACAUGUCAUUCUUUAAAAAAUAUUAUGCAAAAUAUUUAAUUUACUAUACAAUUUAUAAUGUAAAGUUUAUAUAUAAACACUUUAAAAACACUAAACUAAAAAAUAGGCCCAUUAGCACCGGCCCAUGGUUGGAACCGGUGCUAAAGGGUCCUGAAUUUCAGGACCCUGCCCGAGCCCGCUAAGACCCUUUAGCACUGGUCCGUGGCUGUAGCACCGGUUCCAGCCACGAGCCGGUGCUAAAGGGUCCGCCCCUAUAUAUACCGCAGUCGCCCUGGAUCUGAACAUGCUUCGUCUUCGUCGAGCAGACCUGAACCGCUGCCUUCCAUCACCAGCGCCGCCGUCGUUUCGUCUACCCGCGCCAUCGUCCAGCGCCGCCGCGUGGCCGUCUCUAGCACCGCCGCGGCCAUCUCCGCCACCAGCGCCACCGUGGGUGCCAUCUCCGCCACCAGCGCCGGCACCAGCGCUGUCUUCUUCCUCCACACACGUCGAUCAACUCCGGACGGCCGUCUAGCUCUCAAUGUAUUAUAUCAAGAUCGAACUCCAGCUAUAAAGUUAAUCUGCAAAAUAAAUAAAUGUAUAUAUAUAUAAUCUGCAAAAUGAAUGAAUGUAUAUACAUAUAUAAUAAAUAUAAAUAUAUAUAUAUAUGUAUAUAUAUAAUAAAUAUAUAUAAUAAAUGAAUGUUAUGAUAUACUGCAUGUGUUUUGAAUAUACAUGUAUAUAAUAUACAAUUGUAUAUUUAUAAUUAUAUAUAUGUACAUAUAUACAUUUAUGAUAUAUAUUGUGUUUUAAAUUGUUAUUAUAUUAUUGUUUGUACUAUUAUUUUAGUAUUAUUUUUAGUAUUAUUUUUUAGUAUAUUAUUCUAGUAUAUUGCUUGGCUUAAAAGACUUUUUAGUAUAUUAUUCUACUAUAUUAUGAAUUGUAGUGUUUUGUAUAUAUUAUUGUUUGUACUAGUAUUUUAGUAUUAUUUUUAGUAUUAUUUUUUAGUAUAUUAUUCUAGUAUAUUACUUGGCU